AAACCAUGGUGAAAGGAACUGAUUUAACAAAUCCUUGAAUCUUUCCCAGACUUGAUAGAACGUUUCAUUGUCUUUUUAGGAAAAUGUAGAAAUCUGUCAUUUUAACCU
Humulus lupulus (European hop) is the source of this 108-nucleotide small nucleolar RNA. NCBI's taxonomy places the organism in Eukaryota, Viridiplantae, Streptophyta, Magnoliopsida, Rosales, Cannabaceae. The record is from RefSeq and is a predicted model, not a curated record.